This 1039-nucleotide long non-coding RNA is filed under the name Dromaius novaehollandiae (emu). Its description in RNAcentral is "lncRNA (ENSDNVG00000014656.1)". The record is from RNAcentral. Lineage: Eukaryota; Metazoa; Chordata; Aves; Casuariiformes; Dromaiidae.
ACAACUGGCCAGUCAGUGGCGGAGCCAGUCCUGAAGUUGACCUCAGUUUGUUGUCUCCUUGAUUUAUCGCAGACCCAGUGUUCCCCAUGUCUGCCCGGGCAUUACUGUGAUGCUGCUGGCCUUCCAGCCCCUACAGGACAGUGUGAAGAAGGAUUCUACUGCACACUGGGAUCCAUUCUUCCCMAAAUCCCAGUUGUAGACAAGACUGGAGGCCCCUGUCCCAGAGGGUAUUUCUGUCCCAAGGGCACAGCUGUUCCAGUGGCUUGUCCAGCAGGGUCAUACAACCCUUCACAAAGGCAAGCCAGCUGCCUCCCCUGUGCUAAAGGGUUCUUCUGCCCAGAAAAUUCCUCUUCCUUUUUGGAGAACGAAUGCUCAACUGGCCACUACUGCCCUGCUGGUACUGCUUCUGCAACUCAGUUCCCGUGCCCUAAAGGGACUUACAACCCACAGACUAGAAGCAGCCUGAUGUCUCACUGCACCCCUUGUGACCCAGGGCACUACUGUGCAUUUGCAGGGCAGCCACAUGUUACAGGGCCCUGUUUGGCUGGAUUCUACUGCAGUGGAGGAGUUUCGAGUCCAACACCUACUGAUGGCCUUCUGGGAAACAAAUGCCCUAAGGGAACUUAYUGCCCUAUGGGCACUGCCUUUCCUCAGCCAUGUCCUCCUGGUUAUUACAGCAACUCAACUGGGAACACUGGGAUUGAGGGCUGUCUCCCGUGUGAUGCAGGGUAUUUCUGCAAUGGAACUGGACUUUUAUCUCCGUCUGGACUAUGUGAAGCUGGAUUCUACUGUAGUGGAGGCACUGUUUCUUCUAAACCCCCCAGGACAACAGUCARUGGAGGACCAUGUCCACCUGGACAUUACUGUGUGGUGGGGAGCAGCAGAGCCCAGCCUUGCCCUGCAGGGAGUUAUAGUCCAACUUGGAGUAUGGCACAAUGUUUGGAGUGCCCAGAAGGCUUUUACUGCAAGACUGCUUCCACAAAUUACACGGAUUGCCCUGCAGGUGGGCCUGAUUGCACCCACCCACUCAUCCUGGGAA